AAGGGCUUAGCUUAAUUAAAGUGUCUGUUUUGCAUACAGGAGAUGUAAGAUGUGGUCUUGCAGUCCUUA
RNAcentral lists this transfer RNA (69 nucleotides) under Elephantulus intufi (Bushveld elephant shrew). RNAcentral describes it as "tRNA-Ala". It matches the Rfam family "tRNA". Rfam says of the family: Transfer RNA (tRNA) molecules are approximately 80 nucleotides in length. Their secondary structure includes four short double-helical elements and three loops (D, anti-codon, and T loops). Lineage: Eukaryota; Metazoa; Chordata; Mammalia; Macroscelidea; Macroscelididae. The record is from RNAcentral.